AAUGCGAUGGUCAUCGGUUCGACUCCGAUAGCGGGCU
RNAcentral lists this transfer RNA (37 nucleotides) under Dicranum majus. RNAcentral describes it as "partial tRNA-Thr". Lineage: Eukaryota; Viridiplantae; Streptophyta; Bryopsida; Dicranales; Dicranaceae. The record is from RNAcentral.